Molecule: ribosomal RNA, 256 nt
Filed under: uncultured bacterium
Lineage: Bacteria
Description: partial 16S ribosomal RNA
Rfam family: Bacterial small subunit ribosomal RNA
Source: RNAcentral
UACGGGGGGGAGCAAGCGUUGUUCGGAUUUACUGGGCGUAAAGGGCGCGUAGGCGGCGCAACAAGUCACUUGUGAAAUCUCCGGGCUUAACCCGGAGCGGCCAAGUGAUACUGUCGUGCUAGAGUGCGGAAGGGGCUACUGGAAUUCUCGGUGUAGCGGUGAAAUGCGUAGAUAUCGAGAGGAACACCUGCGGCGAAAGCGACUUUCUGGUCCGUUAAACUGACGCUGAGGCGCGAAAGCGUGGGGAGCAAACAGG